GGACUAGAUAUUAAGAAAGGAAGACUAGAUACUACUAUCAGAAGAUGUUAUGGUCACUCUAAUUUGAACUGCAUCAUAUUCCUUGGCAUUUCUAAAAUAGGAAUAAAUUUCGAGUUGAGCAGAAUUUAUGGUCACUCUAGUUUGAACUGUAACAUGUUCCUCAUGACCUCUAAAAUAGCAAAUAAUUGCAGAAGACUUGAAAAAGACAACCUGCUGAUUGCACAAACUAGAUACUGGUGGCAGAGGAGUAGAUAUUAAGAAGAGAAGACUAGAUACUACUAUCAGAAGAUGUUAUGGUCACUCUAAUUUGAACUCCAUCAUAUUCCUUGGCAUUUCUAAAAUAGGAAUAAAUUUCGAGUUGAGCAGAAAUUAUGGUCACGCUAGUUUGAACUGUAACAUGUUCCUCAUGACCUCUAAAAUAGCAACAUUCAGAAACCAGAAAUAAGUUCGAAGUGUUCAAAAUAUAGAAUAACUUGGUGCGGAAUAACAGCAAAAACUAGAAUUAGCUUAAUAUGAUCACUAGAACUAACAUUAA
Non-coding RNA from Onthophagus taurus, 535 nucleotides. The record is from RefSeq and is a predicted model, not a curated record. Lineage: Eukaryota; Metazoa; Arthropoda; Insecta; Coleoptera; Scarabaeidae.